Molecule: unclassified non-coding RNA, 232 nt
Filed under: Hevea brasiliensis (rubber tree)
Lineage: Eukaryota; Viridiplantae; Streptophyta; Magnoliopsida; Malpighiales; Euphorbiaceae
Source: RNAcentral
CUCUUCCUUCUCUACUUCCAUCCCAAUCUCCUAAAACCCCAUCAUCAUCAUCACCUCUCUACCCCUCCAUUCUCCCCAAAUCAUCAUCACAUUCUCAAUUCUAUGGUCACAAACUCUCCUAUGCCUCCUCUCUAUCAUUCCCAUCUUCUGCUUCUUCACUCAAGACUUCCAUUUUUUCCAAGGUAAACAAAGGUGGGGUGCCUCCAAACUUUUCACUGAAAGAUCAAGAUGG